RNAcentral lists this long non-coding RNA (318 nucleotides) under Citrus sinensis (sweet orange). RNAcentral describes it as "long non-coding RNA (CSIN_LNC001728)". Lineage: Eukaryota; Viridiplantae; Streptophyta; Magnoliopsida; Sapindales; Rutaceae. The record is from RNAcentral.
CUUGCCAUCUUCAUGGAAUAUUCAAGUUGGGGGUGUGGGCGGUUCCCCGGGGUACGGAUCUCCUCGGGGGUCUAUGCUUCGACCCGGAUUCUGCAGCCUCCCCUCCACUCCCACCCGUACUCCGACCCGACCAGGCAUCGGAUAUCCUGAUAUCUUUAACACUUGCUGGGAGGAGGAGGAGGAGGAGCCGGUGAUGGAGAGGGUAGAGUCAGGGAGGGACUUGCGGGCGAAAAUGUUUGAAAGACUAAGCAAGGAGAAUUCUCUGGAACGGGUCGACCCGUACCCGACUAAUGCGGUGGAUCCGGAUCUGGGUUGGAU